CAGCCACGCUGGGGGUGGCGCUUCAAAACGCAAGCGCCUGAGACAGUCCCCUCGAACCUGAUCCGGUUCGCACCGGCGGAGGAAAGCGCAUGCCCGACACA
Molecule: non-coding RNA, 101 nt
Filed under: Plesiocystis pacifica
Lineage: Bacteria; Pseudomonadati; Myxococcota; Nannocystales; Nannocystaceae
Also listed under: 1 other name
Description: TPP sequence
Rfam family: TPP riboswitch aptamer (THI element)
About the family: Vitamin B(1) in its active form thiamin pyrophosphate (TPP) is an essential coenzyme that is synthesised by coupling of pyrimidine and thiazole moieties in bacteria. The previously detected thiamin-regulatory element, thi box was extended, resulting in a new, highly conserved RNA secondary structure, the THI element, which is widely distributed in eubacteria and also occurs in some archaea.
Source: RNAcentral